This 96-nucleotide small RNA is filed under the name Epilithonimonas hominis. RNAcentral describes it as "Chryseobacterium hominis Flavo-1 RNA". It matches the Rfam family "Flavo-1 RNA". The record is from RNAcentral. Lineage: Bacteria; Pseudomonadati; Bacteroidota; Flavobacteriia; Flavobacteriales; Weeksellaceae.
CUCGUUCCUCGUUUUGCAGUGGAAAUCCUUUUUUGCUUGGACUUCAUCUGUCAAAUCUUGAGGCAAAAAAGAUUGCAACGUAAAGCGGGAAACAGC